UCACGAUGUCCUGAUGCAAAUCCUCAGUGUGUGUAGUGUACUUGUGUCCUGCUGACUGGUCUUGUAGUUUGUGUGCAGCAUCAGAGGUCACAUCUCCAGACUCAGGAUGAUGAACACACUCACUCUUCUGCUGGUUGCUCUCUCUCUGUCCUGUUGUACAGGUCAGAGUAUGGAGUCCAUUCCUUCCAGUUCAGUAGUGAAGAGGCCUGGGGAGACUCUCAGUCUCUCCUGCAGAGGAUCUGGCUUCACAUUUACCUGUUGCACUAUGAACUGGAUCAGACAACCUGCAGGAAAAGCACUGGAGUGGAUAGGAGUUGGCUACUCUUCUGCCAGUAGUAAUGCUUAUGCCAGCAGUGUGAGAGGACGUGCAGAAAUCAGUAGAGAUGACAGCAACAGCAUGGUGCAUCUGAGACUGUCCAACUUGAAGCCAGAGGACUCUGCUGUGUAUUACUGUGCCAAAGAAACACACUGGUUAAAGUGAGCAGAGAGGCUGUACAAAAACUCUCCAGAAAUGUGUGACAGAGACCUGCAGGGGGCAGUAGAACAUAUUAAUUGGGAUAAGAACAACCAAAAGAGCAGGACAAUUACAAUAAAUAUGCACAGGAGCAGCUGCUGUUACAGUUUGUCACUUCCUGCUGAAUUCUUUUUUCUCAACAAUAAUAGUUACUAAACUUUUCAAUAAUGAUUUUUUACAGCAGUUGUCCAA
This is a non-coding RNA of Seriola aureovittata, 706 nucleotides long. Lineage: Eukaryota; Metazoa; Chordata; Actinopteri; Carangiformes; Carangidae. The record is from the annotation of a RefSeq genome assembly.